AUUAAAGAGUUCUAUAACUCCCAAACCCAUGUGAACAUACCUAACGUUGCCUCGGCAGGUCGCACCUACCUUGUAGCACCCUACCCUGUAGGGCCUACCCGGGAGGUGCGGGUAAGCCUGCCGGCGGCCCACCAAACUCUGUUUGAUAUUGAAUUCUGAACCUAUAACUAAAUAAGUUAAAACUUUCAACAACGGAUCUCUUGGUUCUGGCAUCGAUGAAGAACGCAGCGAAAUGCGAUAAGUAAUGUGAAUUGCAGAAUUCAGUGAAUCAUCGAAUCUUUGAACGCAUAUUGCGCCCAUUAGUAUUCUAGUGGGCAGGACCGUUCGAGCGUCAUUUCAACCCUUAAGCCUUCGUUGCUUAGUGUUGGGAGCCUACGGCAACGUAGCUCCUCAAAGUUAGUGGCGGAGUUGGUUCACACUCUAGACGUAGUAAUUUUUUAUCUCGCCUAUUAGUUGGACUAAUCCCCUGCCGUAAAACCCCUAAUUUAUCAAGGUUGACCUCGAAUCGGUUCAGACAAACUCGCUAAAUUGAAGCAUCUUAGUCAGCGAAGGAAAAGAAACCAACAGGGAUUGCCCUAGUAACGGCGAGUGAAGCGGCAACAGCUCAAAUUUGAAAUCUGGCCCUCGGGUC
RNAcentral lists this ribosomal RNA (631 nucleotides) under fungal endophyte. RNAcentral describes it as "eukaryotic LSU rRNA". The stretch from base 181 to 334 matches the Rfam family "5.8S ribosomal RNA". The record is from RNAcentral. Lineage: Eukaryota; Fungi.